GGGGUUGGCGUUGCUGAGCUCUCCGGAAGGAGACGUGGCGGCUGUUGGGCACCGGGCUGCCUGGCCGCUUGGUAGUCCCGCCGCCUCCUCCUCCUCCUCCUCCUCCUCUUCCCUCUCCUCUCCACUGUGGGCCGAGGGGGUUGUGGCGGUGGCUGGAGAACUCGGCGGCGGAGGAUGGAGGAAGGAGGCGGCGGCGCGCGGAGUCUGGUCCCAGGUGGGCCGCUGUUACUGGUACUCUGCGGUCUCCUAGAGGCGUCCGGUGGCGGCCGAGCGCUCCCCCAGCUCAGCGAUGACAUCCCUUUCCGAGUCAACUGGCCCGGCACCGAGUUCUCUCUGCCUACAACUGGAGUUUUGUAUAAAGAAGAUAAUUAUGUCAUCAUGACAACUACACAUAAAGAAAAAUAUAAAUGCAUUCUUCCCCUUGUGACAAGUGGGGAUGAGGAAGAAGAAAAGGAUUAUAAAGGCCCAAAUCCAAGAGAGCUAUUGGAGCCACUAUUUAAACAGAGCAGUUGUUCCUACAGAAUUGAGUCUUAUUGGACUUACGAAGUAUGUCACGGAAAACACAUUCGGCAGUACCAUGAAGAGAAAGAAAGUGGUCAGAAAGUAAAUAUACACGAGUACUACCUUGGGAAUAUGUUGGCUAAGAACCUUCUAUCCGAAAAAGAACAAGAAGCAGAAGAAAAGGAAAAAUCAAAAGAGAUUCCCACUAAAAAUAUCGAAGGUCAGAUGACACCCUACUAUCCAGUGGGAAUGGGAAAUGGUACACCUUGUAGUUUGAAACAGAACCGGCCCAGAUCAAGUACUGUGAUGUACAUAUGUCAUCCUGAAUCUAAGCAUGAAAUUCUUUCAGUAGCUGAAGUUACAACUUGUGAAUAUGAAGUUGUCAUUUUGACACCACUCUUGUGCAGUCAUCCUAAAUAUAGAUUCAGAGCAUCUCCUGUGAAUGACAUAUUUUGCCAGUCACUACCAGGAUCACCAUUUAAACCCCUCACCCUGAGACAGUUGGAACAGCAGGAAGAAAUACUGAGGGUGCCUUUUAGGAGAAAUAAAGAGGAAGAUAUGCAAUCAACUAAGGAAGAGAGAUUUCCAGCAAUCCACAAACCCAUUGCUGUUGGUUCUCAGCCAAUGCUCACAGUUGGAACAACCCACAUAUCCAAAUUGACAGAUGACCAACUCAUAAAAGAGUUCCUUAGUGGUUCCUACUGCUUUCACGGGGGUGUUGGUUGGUGGAAAUAUGAAUUCUGCUAUGGCAAACAUGUACAUCAAUACCAUGAGGACAAGGAUAGUGGGAAAACCUCUGUGGUUGUGGGAACAUGGAACCAAGAAGAACAUAUUGAAUGGGCUAAGAAGAAUACUGCUAGAGCCUAUCACCUUCAAGAUGAUGGUACCCAGACAGUCAGGAUGGUGUCACAUUUUUAUGGGAAUGGAGAUAUAUGUGAUAUAACUGACAAACCAAGACAGGUGACUGUAAAACUAAAGUGUAAAGAAUCAGAUUCUCCUCAUGCUGUUACUGUAUAUAUGCUAGAGCCUCACUCCUGUCAGUAUAUCCUAGGGGUUGAAUCUCCAGUGAUCUGUAAAAUCUUAGAUACAGCAGAUGAAAAUGGACUUCUUUCUCUCCCCAACUAAAGGGGAGAACACACCGAGGGACUCAGCAAAAUGUCCUGUAAGAUGAGGGAAAUGACUGAUUUUGUCCUGCUUGCAGGAUCUUAGUUCCCCAACCAGGCAUCAAACCUGGGACCCUGCAGUGAAAGCGCCAAGUCCUAACUACUGGACCACUGGGGAAUUCCCAAGAAAAUUCAAUUUUCAGUCUCCAGCUCCAUGUACUUAAAACAUGCCAGUUCUGAGGGACUCUGAACUCAAAGAAAGUGUCUAACAUUAUGGUUCUCUGUGAAGAAUACAAUUCCCAGUCAUAUCUUUCCUCAGAGUAAUAUUAAUAAAAUCA
Mesoplodon densirostris (Blainville's beaked whale) is the source of this 1942-nucleotide RNA transcript. It is a transcript of the gene named endoplasmic reticulum lectin 1, with no coding region annotated. The record is from RefSeq and is a predicted model, not a curated record. Lineage: Eukaryota; Metazoa; Chordata; Mammalia; Artiodactyla; Ziphiidae. The transcript is spliced from 16 exons.